Molecule: long non-coding RNA, 990 nt
Organism: Acyrthosiphon pisum (pea aphid)
Lineage: Eukaryota; Metazoa; Arthropoda; Insecta; Hemiptera; Aphididae
Exons: 3
Source: RefSeq, a predicted model, not a curated record
CAUUUUAAAAACCCGUUCUAUUUACACUGUAUAGUUGUUAUAAUCUCUACUUUCUGUGUUGCUUGUCAAAUUACGUAAGCUAUGUAAUUUAAUUUUUACUACAAAAUACAAAUAUAUAAUAAGUAUAUAUUAACAGGUGGCAUUCCUGGGGUCGAUAUAGUUACUGGGGGUUGAGUCAACUGGUGGUAGUGUAGGCGACCGGGGUUGAUAGCUUUGGUGGUUGUGAUGGUGACUGAGUGUGGUGGGGUGGCUUAUAAUAUUAUUCCCGGGCUAUUUUCUGUUUAUCGAAUGCUGUAUUUGUUCUACUAAGGUUGUUAUUUCAACUUGCGCAUGACAAAACCGGGGUGAAAUAUCGAUUUACUUGCAGAUGCUAGCGCACAUGAUUCCUGGGCCGUGUGCGGAGUUUUGGUAGCUUGGCAACAGGGAGAGGUUGGUGUAUGAUACGCUGUAGUAAUGCAUCUAGUAACAUUGUGAGUCCAACAUCAAAAGAACAUUUUGAAUUACAAGAAAAACAGAUAUUUAGAAAACAAUAUUUGUAUGAAAAUCAAUUACAAUAAGCCGGGUCACAUUAAUCAUACGUCAACCACUCAUUUUUGAUAUCUGCGUACGCCGCGGCCGUACACACAAUCGAUAAUAUCUUCAAUUCGAUCAGGAUCAAUAAUGGUUCACAUAGCUACAGUUUUGAUAACUCUGAUCACAGCUAUCUCAAUAACUGAUCAUCUUCUUGAUAAUAUCUUGCUAGAAACUCUAUUCAAUUCUACAAUUGCAAUAGAAAAAUAUCAUAAUGUGGUUUUUCCUGAAGAGAUCUUCAAAAGUUAUGGUGUCAAUCCUGAUGAACCGAAAGGUAAGGACUGGUUGGGUAAUAGACCAAUAAAAAUUAUUUACUUGUUUGAAAAUUAAUUAUAAAAGAUUGGUAGCACUAUAAAAAACACACUUAAGCAUAAGCUUACCUAUAUAUUAUAUUUAUUGGCUUUGAAAUAUUUCGAAAUA